CUUCAUCAGUCACAUUUGCACCAAAGCAGUUAAUAGGCCUUGAUUGAGCAGCAAGCUCCUGAAACCUAUUGCUGUAGUUCGGUAAAAACAAUACAAAUCUCUAAUUCAGAAAAGUGCUGUAAGUGUGGGCUCGUCAUCAGCAGUGGGAGCUGGGGUUAAACCUUUAAAAGAGCAUGUGUGUGUGUAGGUUUUUCACCUGGUGGCUGGAAGGUGAGAAUUUGUGGCGGUGGCUUCUGUUCGUUGUCAGGGGACGGCGUGAGAAGAGGCGGAGUGUGGAAAGCCAGAAGGCGUGUGCCUCGAAGGAGCCCUCGUGCCUGCAGGAUUUGACCGCUCAACGCCACGGGAGCAAAUGAGGCCCCCCAGGGACCCGGACAGGCACGGUCACGGGAUGGCUCGCUCCCCAGCGAGCCCAGGGCAGCCUCAGACACCCAGCUCCACACGGCCUCCCAACGGCUCCUGCCAGCCCACCGACGUGCCGCGGCAGGAGCACACCAGCCCCUUCCCCGCUCUACCUGGAGACACGGGGGGGUCCCGGGCGCUCCGGAGCGCUGCAGUGCGACAUGGGCCACAACUAAGGCAGGCACGUGAAUCCCCUUAAACUCCUCACUUGAUGCCUCAUACGCUGUCACUCUUUGCAAAGCCAGUCGUGAAGCUUUUUUGUCCAAAGCAAUUCAUUAUAAACUCCGUAAUUCUUUAAAAACUUCGAUGCUGUGA
Molecule: long non-coding RNA, 714 nt
Organism: Neofelis nebulosa (Clouded leopard)
Lineage: Eukaryota; Metazoa; Chordata; Mammalia; Carnivora; Felidae
Exons: 2
Source: RefSeq, a predicted model, not a curated record